This is a long non-coding RNA of Melitaea cinxia (Glanville fritillary), 408 nucleotides long. RefSeq lists it as uncharacterized. Lineage: Eukaryota; Metazoa; Arthropoda; Insecta; Lepidoptera; Nymphalidae. The transcript has 2 exons. The record is from RefSeq and is a predicted model, not a curated record.
CGCUACUCGAAUAUCUCUCACAAAAAAUACGUCGUCAUCAUCGAAAUGGCGGCAGCGGAUAUAUUCAGCGCAGGGUGCACGACCGUCACCCAAGCGGAGACGCAGGGGGCGGCCACCCCGGGCUGAGGUCGUUCACCUCCCCCCUUGCGUCCGCGCAGCGAGUCCCUCGCAAUCACAGCCCUUUGUGCGCCCGCGCAGAGGGCUACUCGGAGGGCAAAGACUCCAUUUGUAUUUCUUUGUUUUGAAAUACCUUCUAACUCGAAGGGUCUGCAGGUACACAACUGGUCAUUGGAAUCUUUGUUUCCGAGAAGGUGGAUUUUAGUUUUUGUCAUUGUAAUCAAGAGACUUUAAUUUUGUGCGUUAUAAAUUUUUAUUUUACAUUUCGCCAUUAAAUACCAUCACAAUAAA